GCCGCUGGCGGCAGGCUUAACACAUGCAAGUCCAUCGGUAACAUAAAGAAGCUUGCUUCUUUGAUGACGAGUGGCGGACGGGUGAGUAAUGCUUGGGAAUCUAGCUUAUGGAGGGGGAUAACUACGGGAAACUGUAGCUAAUACCGCGUAGUAUCGAGAGAUGAAAGUGUGGGACCUUCGGGCCACAUGCCAUAGGAUGAGCCCAAGUGGGAUUAGGUAGUUGGUGAGGUAAAGGCUCACCAAGCCGACGAUCUCUAGCUGGUCUGAGAGGAUGACCAGCCACACUGGGACUGAGACACGGCCCAGACUCCUACGGGAGGCAGCAGUGGGGAAUAUUGCGCAAUGGGGGCAACCCUGACGCAGCCAUGCCGCGUGAAUGAAGAAGGCCUUCGGGUUGUAAAGUUCUUUCGGUAGCGAGGAAGGCAUUUAGUUUAAUAGACUAGGUGAUUGACGUUAACUACAGAAGAAGCACCGGCUAACUCCGUGCCAGCAGCCGCGGUAAUACGGAGGGUGCGAGCGUUAAUCGGAAUAACUGGGCGUAAAGGGCACGCAGGCGGUGACUUAAGUGAGGUGUGAAAGCCCCGGGCUUAACCUGGGAAUUGCAUUUCAUACUGGGUCGCUAGAGUACUUUAGGGAGGGGUAGAAUUCCACGUGUAGCGGUGAAAUGCGUAGAGAUGUGGAGGAAUACCGAAGGCGAAGGCAGCCCCUUGGGAAUGUACUGACGCUCAUGUGCGAAAGCGUGGGGGACAAACAGGAUUAGA
Molecule: ribosomal RNA, 761 nt
Filed under: uncultured organism
Description: SSU rRNA
Rfam family: Bacterial small subunit ribosomal RNA
Source: RNAcentral